UGGGGGAUAUUGCACAAUGGGCGAAAGCCUGAUGCAGCGACGCCGCGUGGGGGAUGAAGGCCUUCGGGUUGUAAACUUCUUUUGCUCUGAACAAGGCGCACCAUGGGGUGUGUUGAGUGUAGGGGUUGAUUAGCGCCGGCUAACUACGUGCCAGCAGCCGCGGUAAUACGUAGGGCGCGAGCGUUGUCCGGAAUUAUUGGGCGUAAAGGGCUUGUAGGUGGCUGGUUGCGUCUGUCGUGAAAGCUCAUGGCUUAACUGUGGGUUUGCGGUGGGUACGGGCUGGCUUGAGUGCAGUAGGGGAGGCUGGAAGUCCUGGUGUAGCGGGGGAAUGCGCAGAUAUCAUGAGGAAUACCGGUGGCGAAGGCGGGUCUCUGGGCUGUUACUGACACUGAGGAGCGAAAGCAUGGGAGCGAACAGG
This 418-nucleotide ribosomal RNA is filed under the name bacterium. RNAcentral describes it as "partial 16S ribosomal RNA". It matches the Rfam family "Bacterial small subunit ribosomal RNA", at positions 355 to 776 of the family's 1533-position model. The record is from RNAcentral.